This 25-nucleotide microRNA is filed under the name Equus caballus (horse). Its description in RNAcentral is "eca-miR-9132". Lineage: Eukaryota; Metazoa; Chordata; Mammalia; Perissodactyla; Equidae. The record is from miRBase by way of RNAcentral.
UCAUAAUGGUCAGUGGUCUCGUCUG